UGGGGAAUCUUGGACAAUGGGCGCAAGCCUGAUCCAGCAAUGCCGCGUGAGUGACGAAGGCCUUAGGGUUGUAAAACUCUUUCGUCGGGGACGAUAAUGACGGUACCCGAAGAAGAAGCUCCGGCUAACUUCGUGCCAGCAGCCGCGGUAAUACGAAGGGAGCUAGCGUUGUUCGGAAUCACUGGGCGUAAAGCGCACGUAGGCGGAUAGUUAAGUCAGGGGUGAAAUCCUGGGGCUCAACCCCAGAACUGCCUUUGAUACUGGCUGUCUCGAGGUCGAGAGAGGUUGGUGGAAUUCCUAGUGUAGAGGUGAAAUUCGUAGAUAUUAGGAAGAACACCAGUGGCGAAGGCGGCCAACUGGCUCGAUACUGACGCUGAGGUGCGAAAGCGUGGGGAGCAAACAGGAUUAGAUACCCAGGUAGUCCCUGAGCGGGCUGGCAAGGCG
Molecule: ribosomal RNA, 444 nt
Filed under: uncultured bacterium
Lineage: Bacteria
Description: bacterial SSU rRNA
Rfam family: Bacterial small subunit ribosomal RNA
Source: RNAcentral